AGCCUAAACUAGCAAGUAAUUGCUGGCAUGGUGAAAAGUCCAAUCAGACAUAAAAAACCCAUCAUGGGGUUGUCUGAUUGGCCAUAUCGGGAAACCGGUAUGAAUGGCUUCGGCCAU
RNAcentral lists this small RNA (117 nucleotides) under unclassified sequences. Its description in RNAcentral is "LOOT RNA". It matches the Rfam family "LOOT RNA". From Rfam's summary of the family: Latescibacteria, OD1/Parcubacteria, OP11, TM7. Lineage (Microgenomates, aka OP11) The record is from Rfam by way of RNAcentral.